GGAUUAGAUACCCUGGUAGUCCACGCCGUAAACGAUGAAUGCUAGUUGUCAGCAGGUAUUCCUGUUGGUGACGCAGCUAACGCAUUAAGCAUUCCGCCUGGGGAGUACGGCCGCAAGGUUAAAACUCAAAGAAAUUGACGGGGGCCCGCACAAGCGGUGGAGCAUGUGGUUUAAUUCGAGGCAACGCGAAGAACCUUACCAGCCCUUGACAUCCUGGUCGCGAGGAGUGGAGACACACCUUUUCAGUUCGGCUGGACCAGUGACAGGUGCUGCACGGCUGUCGUCAGCUCGUGCCG
This 296-nucleotide ribosomal RNA is filed under the name uncultured bacterium. RNAcentral's name for it is "partial 16S ribosomal RNA". It matches the Rfam family "Bacterial small subunit ribosomal RNA", at positions 775 to 1067 of the family's 1533-position model. The record is from RNAcentral.